RNAcentral lists this ribosomal RNA (452 nucleotides) under uncultured bacterium. RNAcentral describes it as "bacterial SSU rRNA". It matches the Rfam family "Bacterial small subunit ribosomal RNA", at positions 29 to 506 of the family's 1533-position model. The record is from RNAcentral.
AUAAACGCUGGCGGCGUGCUUUAUGCAUGCAAGUCGUACGGUUUUGAGCAAUCAAGACAGUGGCGAGCGGGUGAGUAAUACGUAAGUAACCUGCCCCUAAGAACGGAAUAACUCUGAGAAAUUAGAGCUAAUACCGUAUGUGGCCCUUCCUUGAUGAGGAAGGAUUAAAGCCGUAAGGCGCUUAGGGAGGGGCUUGCGGCCUAUCAGGUAGUUGGUGAGGUAACGGCCCACCAAGCCAAAGACGGGUAGCUGGUUUGAGAGGACGUCCAGCCACAUUGGGACUUAGACACGGCCCAGACUCCUACGGGAGGCAGCAGCAGGGAAUUUUGUGCAAUGGGCGAAAGCCUGACACAGCGACGCCGCGUGAGGGAUGAAGGUCUUCGGAUUGUAAACCUCUUUUCUUAGGGAAGAAUAAUGACUGUACCUGAGGAAUAAGUGUCGGCUAACUACGU